GGUCGUGUGAUGUAGUGGUCGAAGCAUUCCAGAUUUUGAUUCUGGCUACCUGGGUUCGAAUCCCAGCAUGACCA
RNAcentral lists this transfer RNA (74 nucleotides) under Kalmanozyma brasiliensis GHG001. RNAcentral's name for it is "tRNA-Gln (TTG) (tRNA-Gln-TTG-1-1)". It matches the Rfam family "tRNA". From Rfam's summary of the family: Transfer RNA (tRNA) molecules are approximately 80 nucleotides in length. Their secondary structure includes four short double-helical elements and three loops (D, anti-codon, and T loops). Lineage: Eukaryota; Fungi; Basidiomycota; Ustilaginomycetes; Ustilaginales. The record is from RNAcentral. RNAcentral also lists the same sequence under 1 other name.